Molecule: non-coding RNA, 442 nt
Organism: Cinara cedri
Lineage: Eukaryota; Metazoa; Arthropoda; Insecta; Hemiptera; Aphididae
Source: the annotation of a GenBank genome assembly
GAACCCUCAGUUCGAUUUUGUUGGAACAGUUAUGAAAAACAAAAAAAAAACAAAAACAUUUAACUCGCAAUCUGAAAAACGUCCGAAGUCGAGUCCGUAAAACGCAGGACUGUUGGAAAACGCCGGUGAAAAUCAAAAACUCUGCGCGUAAAAGAAACGCGUCAACGUUUUUAUAGUGAAGAGUGUGCAGUGAAGAAACCGUAUUCGUUCUAACCAAGACGUAGAAAACUUCUUCGAUCAGCGAACACGCUCCGACUUUCGCUCCUUAAGAGAUGCGGAUUUCCCGUCCGGGGAGGUUCAUUUGAAAAAAAAAACUGACGAACAAUCGCGUCGGUUGUGUUGUUGUUGCUUUUUUGACCGCAUAAGGGAUACACGCGCCGUAUUAUAUACGCUGAAAUUCGACUAUACCGCUGAGAAUCGUUUUUUGUUCGUAAUCUCAGCU